CAUUGCCUGGCUGCAAGGCUGCUUGUAUCCUCCUGGAGUCCUAGGGUUCACAGAGUUGAGGAACAUCUGACCAGUAUGCAAGCAUCCCUCUGAGGUUCUCUCUUGAAUGUCAGAUGUCAGCAGGCUGGAGGUCCAUGCCCCGCUCCCACCCCCCUCAGUGGGAGCCACUUCUGAACUGUGAGUUGACCAUAGCAGAUACCACCAUUGAGUCCAUCCCCCUCAACACCCUUAAAGGAGCUCCCUCACCAACCUUCCUAUCCCAGAAGAAGUCUGUUAUGCCAUCUAGGAAACCAAGAACUGGAUGGCAUACCUGCUGAAAUCUACAAGACUGGCAGUGAGAAAAUGGUACUGAGACUCUGUGAAUUUAUUCUAUGAUUUUGGAACAAUGAAGUGAUCCUGGGGGAUGAGAGGAGUGCCAACAUUGUGACUAUCUUCAAGAAAGGAGGUCCAAGAAAAGUGUCAGGAACAACAUCAGGACCUGUAUAUGGCCUUCAUUGACCUCACUUAGGCCUUUGAUUCUGUCAAUUGUGAAGCCUUUUGGAAAGUAUUGGCUAAAACUUGUAUGUCCUGAAAAGUACAUUAAAGCCCUGAGACUUCUUCAUGA
This is a long non-coding RNA of Alligator sinensis (Chinese alligator), 604 nucleotides long. RefSeq lists it as uncharacterized. The transcript has 4 exons. NCBI's taxonomy places the organism in Eukaryota, Metazoa, Chordata, Crocodylia, Alligatoridae. The record is from RefSeq and is a predicted model, not a curated record.